This 2900-nucleotide ribosomal RNA is filed under the name Escherichia coli DEC11A. RNAcentral describes it as "bacterial LSU rRNA". It matches the Rfam family "Bacterial large subunit ribosomal RNA". The record is from RNAcentral. Lineage: Bacteria; Pseudomonadati; Pseudomonadota; Gammaproteobacteria; Enterobacterales; Enterobacteriaceae.
UAAGCGACUAAGCGUACACGGUGGAUGCCCUGGCAGUCAGAGGCGAUGAAGGACGUGCUAAUCUGCGAUAAGCGUCGGUAAGGUGAUAUGAACCGUUAUAACCGGCGAUUUCCGAAUGGGGAAACCCAGUGUGAUUCGUCACACUAUCAUUAACUGAAUCCAUAGGUUAAUGAGGCGAACCGGGGGAACUGAAACAUCUAAGUACCCCGAGGAAAAGAAAUCAACCGAGAUUCCCCCAGUAGCGGCGAGCGAACGGGGAGCAGCCCAGAGCCUGAAUCAGUGUGUGUGUUAGUGGAAGCGUCUGGAAAGGCGCGCGAUACAGGGUGACAGCCCCGUACACAAAAAUACACAUACUGUGAGCUCGAUGAGUAGGGCGGGACACGUGGUAUCCUGUCUGAAUAUGGGGGGACCAUCCUCCAAGGCUAAAUACUCCUGACUGACCGAUAGUGAACCAGUACCGUGAGGGAAAGGCGAAAAGAACCCCGGCGAGGGGAGUGAAAAAGAACCUGAAACCGUGUACGUACAAGCAGUGGGAGCACGCUUAGGCGUGUGACUGCGUACCUUUUGUAUAAUGGGUCAGCGACUUAUAUUCUGUAGCAAGGUUAACCGAAUAGGGGAGCCGAAGGGAAACCGAGUCUUAACUGGGCGUUAAGUUGCAGGGUAUAGACCCGAAACCCGGUGAUCUAGCCAUGGGCAGGUUGAAGGUUGGGUAACACUAACUGGAGGACCGAACCGACUAAUGUUGAAAAAUUAGCGGAUGACUUGUGGCUGGGGGUGAAAGGCCAAUCAAACCGGGAGAUAGCUGGUUCUCCCCGAAAGCUAUUUAGGUAGCGCCUCGUGAAUUCAUCUCCGGGGGUAGAGCACUGUUUCGGCAAGGGGGUCAUCCCGACUUACCAACCCGAUGCAAACUGCGAAUACCGGAGAAUGUUAUCACGGGAGACACACGGCGGGUGCUAACGUCCGUCGUGAAGAGGGAAACAACCCAGACCGCCAGCUAAGGUCCCAAAGUCAUGGUUAAGUGGGAAACGAUGUGGGAAGGCCCAGACAGCCAGGAUGUUGGCUUAGAAGCAGCCAUCAUUUAAAGAAAGCGUAAUAGCUCACUGGUCGAGUCGGCCUGCGCGGAAGAUGUAACGGGGCUAAACCAUGCACCGAAGCUGCGGCAGCGACGCUUAUGCGUUGUUGGGUAGGGGAGCGUUCUGUAAGCCUGCGAAGGUGUGCUGUGAGGCAUGCUGGAGGUAUCAGAAGUGCGAAUGCUGACAUAAGUAACGAUAAAGCGGGUGAAAAGCCCGCUCGCCGGAAGACCAAGGGUUCCUGUCCAACGUUAAUCGGGGCAGGGUGAGUCGACCCCUAAGGCGAGGCCGAAAGGCGUAGUCGAUGGGAAACAGGUUAAUAUUCCUGUACUUGGUGUUACUGCGAAGGGGGGACGGAGAAGGCUAUGUUGGCCGGGCGACGGUUGUCCCGGUUUAAGCGUGUAGGCUGGUUUUCCAGGCAAAUCCGGAAAAUCAAGGCUGAGGCGUGAUGACGAGGCACUACGGUGCUGAAGCAACAAAUGCCCUGCUUCCAGGAAAAGCCUCUAAGCAUCAGGUAACAUCAAAUCGUACCCCAAACCGACACAGGUGGUCAGGUAGAGAAUACCAAGGCGCUUGAGAGAACUCGGGUGAAGGAACUAGGCAAAAUGGUGCCGUAACUUCGGGAGAAGGCACGCUGAUAUGUAGGUGAAGUCCCUCGCGGAUGGAGCUGAAAUCAGUCGAAGAUACCAGCUGGCUGCAACUGUUUAUUAAAAACACAGCACUGUGCAAACACGAAAGUGGACGUAUACGGUGUGACGCCUGCCCGGUGCCGGAAGGUUAAUUGAUGGGGUUAGCGCAAGCGAAGCUCUUGAUCGAAGCCCCGGUAAACGGCGGCCGUAACUAUAACGGUCCUAAGGUAGCGAAAUUCCUUGUCGGGUAAGUUCCGACCUGCACGAAUGGCGUAAUGAUGGCCAGGCUGUCUCCACCCGAGACUCAGUGAAAUUGAACUCGCUGUGAAGAUGCAGUGUACCCGCGGCAAGACGGAAAGACCCCGUGAACCUUUACUAUAGCUUGACACUGAACAUUGAGCCUUGAUGUGUAGGAUAGGUGGGAGGCUUUGAAGUGUGGACGCCAGUCUGCAUGGAGCCGACCUUGAAAUACCACCCUUUAAUGUUUGAUGUUCUAACGUGGACCCGUGAUCCGGGUUGCGGACAGUGUCUGGUGGGUAGUUUGACUGGGGCGGUCUCCUCCUAAAGAGUAACGGAGGAGCACGAAGGUUGGCUAAUCCUGGUCGGACAUCAGGAGGUUAGUGCAAUGGCAUAAGCCAGCUUGACUGCGAGCGUGACGGCGCGAGCAGGUGCGAAAGCAGGUCAUAGUGAUCCGGUGGUUCUGAAUGGAAGGGCCAUCGCUCAACGGAUAAAAGGUACUCCGGGGAUAACAGGCUGAUACCGCCCAAGAGUUCAUAUCGACGGCGGUGUUUGGCACCUCGAUGUCGGCUCAUCACAUCCUGGGGCUGAAGUAGGUCCCAAGGGUAUGGCUGUUCGCCAUUUAAAGUGGUACGCGAGCUGGGUUUAGAACGUCGUGAGACAGUUCGGUCCCUAUCUGCCGUGGGCGCUGGAGAACUGAGGGGGGCUGCUCCUAGUACGAGAGGACCGGAGUGGACGCAUCACUGGUGUUCGGGUUGUCAUGCCAAUGGCACUGCCCGGUAGCUAAAUGCGGAAGAGAUAAGUGCUGAAAGCAUCUAAGCACGAAACUUGCCCCGAGAUGAGUUCUCCCUGACUCCUUGAGAGUCCUGAAGGAACGUUGAAGACGACGACGUUGAUAGGCCGGGUGUGUAAGCGCAGCGAUGCGUUGAGCUAACCGGUACUAAUGAACCGUGAGGCUUAACCU